This 397-nucleotide long non-coding RNA is filed under the name Elaeis guineensis (African oil palm). RNAcentral describes it as "long non-coding RNA (EGUI_LNC022261)". The record is from RNAcentral. Lineage: Eukaryota; Viridiplantae; Streptophyta; Magnoliopsida; Arecales; Arecaceae.
AAAACAGCUAAUAUAUAACAUCCAUAUAUUAACUUUUACCGACAGGAAAAAAAAAAAAAGCACCCAUGUAUGACAACAAUAUGGAAUUGUUAGCUUCACUAUGGACUCUCAAAAACGACUAGAAUGGCUUGAAAAUUGCGUGGAUAACCACAUUACUUAAACCAUGAGCAAGACCAACAUCAAAUAUAAGCCAAGGAGAUGCGCACCACAAUGCAUGAAAUGAAAUUAUAUAUCCAUGCAUUCACCAUUACACCAUCACCACCAUCCUUUGCGUACACCCGUCUCCCAAACCAACCCUCCAACUCUACUACUUAGCCAAUAACACAUCAAAGCAACAAUUAAAUAACAUUCCAUUGGUGAACUACCACCACCUCAUCAACUUAUUUAAUUCCUUNNN